RNAcentral lists this unclassified non-coding RNA (418 nucleotides) under soil metagenome. Its description in RNAcentral is "partial contains 5.8S ribosomal RNA, internal transcribed spacer 2, and large subunit ribosomal RNA". The stretch from base 1 to 120 matches the Rfam family "5.8S ribosomal RNA", at positions 35 to 154 of the family's 154-position model. The record is from RNAcentral.
GAUGAAGAACGUAGCGAAAUGCGAUAAGUAAUGUGAAUUGCAGAAUUCAGUGAAUCAUCGAAUCUUUGAACGCAUCUUGCGCUCCUUGGUAUUCCUUGGAGCAUGCCUGUUUGAGUAUCAUGAGCAAAUCUCAAAGUCAAUUCCUUUUGUUGAUUCAAUUGGUUUUGCUUUGGACUUGGAGGCCUUGCAGAUUUCACAGUCUGCUCCUCUUAAAUGCAUUAGCUGGAUCUCAGUAAUUAUGCUUGGUUCCACUCGGCGUGAUAAGUAUCACUCGCUGAGGACACUGUUAAAAAGGUGGCCAGGAAAAUACUGAUUGAACCGCUUCUAACGGUCAAUUAAGUUAGACAAUUACCCUUAAGUUUGAUCUCAAAUCAGGUAGGACUACCCGCUGAACUUAAGCAUAUCAAUAAGCGGAGGA